This 74-nucleotide transfer RNA is filed under the name Candidatus Woesearchaeota archaeon. Its description in RNAcentral is "tRNA-Phe". It matches the Rfam family "tRNA". Rfam says of the family: Transfer RNA (tRNA) molecules are approximately 80 nucleotides in length. Their secondary structure includes four short double-helical elements and three loops (D, anti-codon, and T loops). Further hydrogen bonds mediate the characteristic L-shaped molecular structure. tRNAs have two regions of fundamental functional importance: the anti-codon, which is responsible for specific mRNA codon recognition, and the 3' end, to which the tRNAs corresponding amino acid is attached (by aminoacyl-tRNA synthetases). tRNAs cope with the degeneracy of the genetic code in two manners: having more than one tRNA (with a specific anti-codon) for a particular amino acid; and 'wobble' base-pairing, i.e. permitting non-standard base-pairing at the 3rd anti-codon position. The record is from RNAcentral. Lineage: Archaea; Nanobdellati; Candidatus Woesearchaeota.
GGGUCCUUAGCUCAGACUGGCAGAGCGUCCGGCUGAAGACCGGUGUGUCCUGGGUUCAAAUCCCAGAGGACCCA